This 435-nucleotide ribosomal RNA is filed under the name uncultured bacterium. Its description in RNAcentral is "partial 16S ribosomal RNA". It matches the Rfam family "Bacterial small subunit ribosomal RNA", at positions 28 to 507 of the family's 1533-position model. The record is from RNAcentral.
GAUGAACGCUGGCGGUAUGCUUAACACAUGCCAGUCGAACGGACUCUUCGGAGUUAGUGGCGGAUGGGUGAGUAACGCGUUAGAAUCUGGCUUUGGGUUUGGGACAUCCACUGGAAACGGUUGCUAAUACCGGCUGUGCUGCGACGUAAAAGCGAAAUUGCCUGAAGAUGAGCCUGCGUCUGAUUAGCUAGUUGGUGAGGUAAAGGCUCACUAAGUCAGCGAUCAGUAGCUGGUCUGAGAGGAUGACCAGCCACACUGGGAAUGAGACACGGCCCAGAGGCAUACGGGAGGCAGGAGUGGGGAAUUUUCCGCAAUGGGCGAAAGCCUGACGGAGGAAUACCGCGUGAGGGAAGAAGGCUCUUGGGGUGUAAACCUCUUUGCUUAGGGAAGAACAAAAUGACGGUACCUAAGGAAUCAGCAUCGGCUAACUCCGUG